RNAcentral lists this ribosomal RNA (463 nucleotides) under Paenibacillus illinoisensis. RNAcentral's name for it is "bacterial SSU rRNA". The record is from RNAcentral. Lineage: Bacteria; Bacillati; Bacillota; Bacilli; Caryophanales; Paenibacillaceae.
CUACGGGWGGCWGCAGUAGGGAAUCUUCCGCAAUGGSCGAAAGCCUGACGGAGCAAUGCCGCGUGAGUGAUGAAGGNUUUUCGGAUCGUAAAGCUCUGUUGCCAGGGAAGAACGUCCUUGAGAGUMACUGCUCAAGGAGUGACGGUACCUGAGAAGAAAGCCCCGGCUAACUACGUGCCAGCAGCCGCGGUAAUACGUAGGGGGCAAGCGUUGUCCGGAAUUAUUGGGCGUAAAGCGCGCGCAGGCGGUCAUUUAAGUCUGGUGUUUAAUCCCGGGGCUCAACCCCGGAUCGCACUGGAAACUGGAUGACUUGAGUGCAGAAGAGGAGAGUGGAAUUCCACGUGUAGCGGUGAAAUGCGUAGAGAUGUGGAGGAACACCAGUGGCGAASGCGACUCUCUGGGCUGUAACUGACGCUGAGGCGCGAAAGCGUGGSGAGCAAACAGSAUUAGAUACCCCAGUAGU